RNAcentral lists this ribosomal RNA (357 nucleotides) under Triticum aestivum (bread wheat). RNAcentral's name for it is "partial small subunit ribosomal RNA". Lineage: Eukaryota; Viridiplantae; Streptophyta; Magnoliopsida; Poales; Poaceae. The record is from RNAcentral.
AUGCGCUAUGAUGAGCGGUACACACCGUAUGUAAGGGAGGCAGGACUUCUCCCUUUCAUUCAGUUGGUCCGCCGGUCGACGCCACCCAACAAUGCUGCAGCACUCACCGCGCUUAUUGAUCAUUGGAGGCCGGAGACACACACUUUCCAUCUUCGAACCGGGGAGAUGACCGUGACGCUCCAGGAUAUUGUUAUGAUCACCGGUCUUCCUAUCGAUGGGAAUCCUUUAUGUAUGAACACCGAUUCUGAUGGGUGGCACACGCAGAUGCAUGCCCUUAUCGGUAUGGUUCCUCCGGAGCCUCGGGAACCAGAAGCAGAAGACAAGAAGAAGGAAAGAGUCGCAGACUAUGUUUGCUGA